UAUCUAGAAGCAUAGAACUACGGUGGCAAAAAGUAGUCCAGCAGCACUUCACAAUUACAUGCAUACAUGAUUUCACUUGUGAAUGGCUCAAUGCUACCUAUUGGGGGUUGUUAAGAAUGGGUGUAAAAUAGCUAAGCACCUGUGGCAACAUAAAUUUUACAACCAAGCAUAAGCACCUGGCACAUAGAGUUGACAAAUAGUAAUGAUGAUCUCCACAAAGCACAAACGUCAUGCAAAUAUGGUGGACACCCAUGGGUAAGCAAAUCCCAAAGAAUGUAGUCCUUCAAAAAGCAGAUGGACCAUUCCACAUACAGAUAAAUAUGAAGUAAAAGUCAAACAACGUAAUAGCAAGCUCCUAUAAAUUGUCAAAAAUCACAAAGAUGUUGAACAAAAGAUUGCCAGUUAAAACAGAAGAAUUUGAGACAACAUCAUAC
Molecule: long non-coding RNA, 434 nt
Filed under: Hordeum vulgare
Lineage: Eukaryota; Viridiplantae; Streptophyta; Magnoliopsida; Poales; Poaceae
Description: long non-coding RNA (HVUL_LNC019282)
Source: RNAcentral